GAUGAACGCUGGCGGCGUGCUUAACACAUGCAAGUCGAACGAAGCAUUUAAGACAGAUUACUUCGGUUUGAAGUCUUUUAUGACUGAGUGGCGGACGGGUGAGUAACGCGUGGGUAACCUGCCUCAUACAGGGGGAUAGCAGCUGGAAACGGCUGGUAAUACCGCAUAAGCGCACAGUACCACAUGGUACAGUGUGAAAAACUCCGGUGGUAUGAGAUGGACCCGCGUCUGAUUAGCUUGUUGGCGGGGUAACGGCCCACCAAGGCGACGAUCAGUAGCCGACCUGAGAGGGUGACCGGCCACAUUGGGACUGAGACACGGCCCAGACUCCUACGGGAGGCAGCAGUGGGGAAUAUUGCACAAUGGAGGAAACUCUGAUGCAGCGACGCCGCGUGAGUGAAGAAGUAGUUCGCUAUGUAAAGCCCUAUCAGCAGGGAAGAUAGUGACGGUACCCGACUAAGAAGCUCCGGCUAAAUACGUG
This 481-nucleotide ribosomal RNA is filed under the name uncultured bacterium. RNAcentral describes it as "partial 16S ribosomal RNA". It matches the Rfam family "Bacterial small subunit ribosomal RNA", at positions 28 to 507 of the family's 1533-position model. The record is from RNAcentral.